AUGAGGAAGGGUUGGUGAGUAUUGCUAUGAUUUCUUUUAUUUGCAGUCAACGGAGACGGGGUGUUAUUUGUAUUUGGCGGAAACAGCUGUUGGAUCGAGAGAGCCAAGAAAACGCACAGAAAUGGAGCCGUCGAUGUUUCAUUCGUCGCAUGGAUGAGAGAAGGCAAUAAGCGUCCGUUUCGUCUUAGGUGUGAAGGGUUUCAAGGACGGUCAGAGAACCCCAGCCUCGCGCUUAUCCUCGCCCUCCCCACGAGUCCCUCGGGAUUCUGUGCUUUCAUGCGUCGAAUUGCUCGACUCUGCGCACACUUAUACGCCGCAUCAUCGCUCUGCUGCACGCCAGCAACGUUAGAGCGGGGAGUUUCUGGUAGGUACUUCUUCCAGCUCAGCACACUUUCGCUCAGAAGACCCGGUUGUCCAAAUGGCUCGGGUAGGAAGAACUGUGCCGCGGAUGUCGUGGAGCGAAGGAGUUGCAGCGUGAGUGCGAGUGUAGGAGAAUAGCGUCGUGUAGACCGAGGUAGUUUUUCGUGAAAACUGGUACCAGUUGUGCCUAGGUGACACGAAUCCACAACAGCUCUGCUCAAGUGUGUCUGUGGAAAAUUGCAAUUUAAGCAGCGUGACCUCAUACUCCAGUAUGACCUCAUCAUCUUAUUGAAUUGCAUGUUCGUGGAGCAUUACCUUGGCGAUUACAUUCCGCUUGAUAAUAGGAUGUGCCUGAAUGCUUCAUGGCUGUUUGAAAGUGGGUGAAGUGAGAUCAACUUUGCUGGUGCAUGGUCGACAACCAAACACCAGGAAGAAACUCAACAAUCUCGGGAAAUCAGGUGAACAUCUCAUGACGUCAUGAUGACCUCAACAUUUAUAGAAGUUAGGUAUGUCCAUGUGCAUGCUUGGGUCUAUUUUUUGUAUGGUGCAAGCUUAUCUUUCGUGUGUGUAGUUAGUAGUUCUGUGAAGUGAGGGAAGUAUGUAGAAAUAUUGAAUGCUCUGAUUGCAUUUGUUUCAAAGUUUUUCCGUGAUUAAACAAUGGAUAGGAGAAGAUAGGGAAAAAAUACAUGUUUUGGAAAUGUUUAUAUAUUUGGAAAUUUGUAGGACCAUGUUUGUUGUAAUAAUUUACGAUGAUAUAUGUGUUGAGAGAUGGUCUUGAGAGAAAUGUAGAUUUUGGACAUGGUCAUGAUGCACAUAUGAAAUAUAUAAUGGAUUAUGCAAUGUUGUAGUUGUGAAUGAUUGUGCCAAUAAGAGAAUGUUUGGGUAGCGAUGGCAAGGUUUGGGAUGGACAAGCUUGUUGGCAUAGAGGAAAAAGUUUUAGUGUAAUAAUGUAGAAAUAAUAUGAGAAGUUCUAUGAAAAAAAUGGAGUUAAAUCAUGAAGAUCACUUUAGUGAUUAGUUGUGAGUAGUAAGUUAUAGAUAGUGAGUGGUAGAAAGUAUAUGGAGUGUUGUUUAAAAGUGUACACAAUAGAUAAUAUGAUAUAUUGAAUUCUCAUUAUUGGUUUCACAAACAAAUCUUGUUAUUGUGUUGUUUUUUACUAGAGUGUGGUAAUUGAGUGAUAGUGGAAAAAUCUACUUAAGUUUAAGUAAGCUUUAGAAAUUUAAGGAGAAUUAAGAAGUACAUAUCAAAUAUUUUGCAAGGUAUGAAUAUUAAUCAUGAUAAGUUUUGUAUUUAUGAUUAGACAUUUGUUUUAUGUAUACAUAGAGAAAAAGAGAGACUUUUAUUCUUUGUACAUAAGUUUGUUUUACACCUAACAUGUAAUUAUGAAGUAGAAAAUUACUAAAAGAGUAAUGGUCAUAGUUGUAGGUUUUCUUUACUUUAGUGAAGUUCAUUAUUGAAGUUCAUUAUUGACAUUCUAUUAAUGUUGAAAUAGACUUUUUAGUGAUGAAAAUUGUCAAAA
Molecule: RNA transcript, 1879 nt
Organism: Physcomitrium patens
Lineage: Eukaryota; Viridiplantae; Streptophyta; Bryopsida; Funariales; Funariaceae
Source: RefSeq, a predicted model, not a curated record